This 454-nucleotide ribosomal RNA is filed under the name uncultured cyanobacterium. RNAcentral's name for it is "bacterial SSU rRNA". It matches the Rfam family "Bacterial small subunit ribosomal RNA", at positions 28 to 524 of the family's 1533-position model. Lineage: Bacteria; Bacillati; Cyanobacteriota. The record is from RNAcentral.
GAUGAACGCUGGCGGUAUGCUUAACACACGCAAGUCGAACGGAAUGCUUCGGCAUUUAGUGGCGGACGGGUGAGUAACGCGUGAGAACAUGCCUUUAGAUUGGGGACAACAGUUGGAAACGACUGCUAAUACCGAAUAUGCCUACGGGUGAAAGAUUUAUUGUCUAAAGAUUGGCUCGCGUCAGAUUAGCUAGUAGGAGUGGUAAUGGCACCCCUAGGCGACGAUCUGUACUUGGUCUGAGAGGAUGACCAGGCACACUGGAACUGAGACACGGUCCAGACUCCUACGGGAGGCAGCAGUGGGGAAUUUUUCCGCAAUGGGCGCAAGCCUGACGGAGCAAUACCGCGUGAGGGAGGACGGCUUUUGGGUUGUAAACCUCUUUUAUCAGGGAAGAAUCGAUGACGGUACCUGAUGAAUCAGCAUCGGCUAACUCCGUGCCAGCAGCCGCGGUAAU